This is a long non-coding RNA of Chinchilla lanigera (long-tailed chinchilla), 3308 nucleotides long. RefSeq lists it as uncharacterized. The transcript has 4 exons. Lineage: Eukaryota; Metazoa; Chordata; Mammalia; Rodentia; Chinchillidae. The record is from RefSeq and is a predicted model, not a curated record.
AUACGCCAGAAGUCUACACUCCAACAGAGCCGGUCCUGCCCCACUUCUGCUCCACUAGCGCCCUAGCUCUGCUCCAAGGGACAAAACACGAAAUAAUUACAGUGCAAGAAUAUGUUCUGAGCACUGUGGAUUGUUUGCCUGUGGUUCUCUACCCUUCCUAAUGGCAGGUGUUUGAAGGCUUACUUUAGAGUCAGGCCUAAUAAAUAUGCUAAACGGCCUGGAGUCAGAAGGCACCAACCACAGCUGGCCAGCUGUUCUCAGCCCGGAUGUUAGGAGAAACCCGUAAGCACCUUGCAUCCACGUGCACACGUGCACACGCCUGUGUUCCGGCACGCAUCACACACUGCGAGGAUUUGGGGUAGCGCCCUAUCCCCACACUCACACCUGCCUCGCAGUGACAACUGAGGCGCCAUCCCAGCGAUCUUUGUCUUCCCCCUUGGAGGUGGAUCCUGUGAAUUUCCACAGAAAGCAGAAAAGAACUUCCCAGAGGGCCAAACGUGUAUAUUUUUGGAGCUGAAAGGCUUCAGGCCCUUUCCUAAGCGCAGUUAUGGAGAAGAUGUUCACUCACUCAAGCCUGGAGAAUUCUGAGUCCUGGUUCUGACUUCCUUGUAGCUGCUCAGAAUCACGUGUUCACUUGUUUGUCUAUAAGAUGGUAAAAGCCCAGCUCAGAAAAAAAGAAUACUUGUGCAAGCGAUGGGAGGAAACAAAGGCUCCCUGUGGAUAAAAGGCACUUAGAAAAGGAUCAUUCACCUGCCUCAGGAAAUGGGCUGCCGCUAAGCACCCAGUGAUCUAUACAUGGUUGACUCGCUGCUAAGGCCACCAUAGCUCUGCCCUCAAAGUAGAGAUGUGGACAACAGUAGGAGAGGGCUUCUGUUCCAAAAGUCUUCUCAAGGGAAAGUAGCUCCAAGAAGAAAUGUAACUUAUUUAAUGGGACAGUUAUACUAGUUUCAAGUCCUGAGUUAUUGGAACUCAGUUAACUAAGAAUCUAAUCGUCCGGGCUGAAAACUUGAGAAAGAUGGCAAUUCUUCAUCAGUUAUAGAACACGCAAUAUGGAAUAACUGCCAGAUCAUAGAUGCAUACAAAGAUGUGAUUAUUUCUUAAAUUAGGCAUCUCUGUGUAUAUUUAUGUUCAAAUUAUAGAGUGAUAGAACAAUCGGAUUACACAGAGGAGUUUCUUUCCAGGCACUACUCUCCGAGCUCCUGCUGUGCCAGACAGGGAUUUUGCCUCUGUGUCUGAGUUGCUAGGAAGUGAAAGCGCCUGAGAUGCUGCCUGCAGGUUUAAUUUUGCAAAGCAGGCAGCCAAUGGCCAGGAACCUGAUCUGUGUACCAUUAACCAGCAGGCUCCAUGCUCAUGUUCAGUCCCAGGGAACCACAGGCAUCCUCACCGUGUGUGGACACUGUGACAACUGCACUGGGUCACGGCUUUGCUCCCACAGAUGUUGAAAGCAAAAUGCUAUGCGUUCCUGUCAAGAGGUGAAGACGACUUGGGCCCAGGUACAGGAGAUAAGAUGGGUGGUGUCAAACAGACGUAUUAUUUAAAUUACUUUCUUAUGUGCACUCAAAUGGUGAAGCAUUUUGGGAUGAUGUCUUCAGCCUAAUCCUCGAGGUCAAGGUAGAUUUCAGAAGAUUCUAGAAUUACGGCAGAGAAAGGUUUGGAGAAAAAGUAGCAAUCUUCAAUCCCAGGAUAAAGAAGAUUAAGUCAGCAAGGAUGGGGGCUGAACUGUGGUUGGAAAGUUGUGGCGGCAGCCAUGAGGUCACUGGACGAGGGGUGAGGUCACGGGGGUCAGGGUGAGGUCACGGGGGUCAGGGUGAGAUCACUGUGGCCAGCCCCAGGGGCCAUCUGACAGCAAGCUCCAGGCCAAGGAAGGAAGGGCUAAGGGAGAAUGUGGCUACUGGAAAACUUUCAGUGACGUACCCAAUUUGCCUGUUUCUUUUGGACGUUAGAGCCUGUAAUUGCUCCUUGGCCAAAGCCAUUGGAACCACAGUGUUGGGUCUGGAUGGGACUUGAGAGCCUGUCUAAGCCACUGGUUCUUAAACUGUGUCAGGGUGACCCAGAGGGACAGGACUCAAGUCGCCAUGAGGUGAGAAGCUUUCCUCCAUGAAGCCUUCCUUCUGCCUUGGAGCCAGCUACCAGGGACUGAGACUGUGAGCCAAAAUAACCUCUCUGCAAACCUGGAAUCCCAAAAUACCUACUCCUGAGACAAACAGCAGCCAAGUCCCAACUGCAGGACUUCUACAAAUGCUCGUCUUCUCAAACCCGGUCCUCCAAGCACAGGGCAGUCUGCAAAGAUGGUGGCCCCGAGAAGCGUGUGAUGCUCGAGGAGUGUGGGAUUGUUACUGGAAUCUGCUGGCUUUUGAUUGUGCUUGGUGGCUGUACCAAAAGUUAUCAAGUGGCUCCUUUUAAAAGCGACUCUCGAAUGUUACCGAGUUCUGGGUUGCUCACCUCUCCUUCUGGAGUUAAGAGUUUAGGUUCUCAUCUCAAACAAAGAAUUGAACAAAAUGAGCAAAAAGCAGAGACAAUGUUUACUUAAAAAAGGUAAAAGUGAAGAGUGAGGAAGAAACUGGCCCUGCAGAGUGAGCCUGGGCGAAGUAAAAGAGGAAAGACAGCGAGAUAAAAGAAUACCCUGGAGAAAUCGGGGUAGGCUGUCAUGAGGAAGGCCACAAUAGCAAGCCUUUCUUGGUGUCUGCAUCCUUUUCUACUGUCCGAAUCUUGAGGAAACUCAUAUGAACUUCUACAUACAGAUCCCAAGAGGCGAUGCUAGAAUCCCACACCUCGGCUGACUUGAGGGCUAGGGCAUCGGAUUGAAAACAUGCUCGAGUUCUGGAGAGAAGUCCCUGCUCAGGCCUUCGGGAACUGUUCUGCACAUGUGGUCUGGGAUCUUGUAACUAACCGGUCAUGCCUACUUCCCCAGCCAGUUUAGUCACACCCUAACCUUCUAUAUCAGGACCAGAGUGGAUCUCCGAGUAGAAAGUGGCAUCCAGUAAAAAAUAAAGAACGCUGAGUAAAGUUUGAACUUCACUGAAUGUGUGAGUAUGACUUCAUUUGCCAGGAUAGAUGCACUAUAUCAGUGUAUGAUGUCACAGGAGACACUGACUGUGAGCCACACUGAAGCUCUCCAGACUCCACAAUUUGUUUUACAGACUUAAAGCUGUUCUAAAAACAAUAAAGCACAGUAAAACCUUUCAGUCAGACAUGUUAGAAUUCACUUUCCCACUCUCUGGUAGAGAAUAAUAUCACAAAAUGAUUAGUGAAUGAAACAGCAAUAAAAGAACAGGCCAUCAGAACAUCGAGAGAAGCAUUUGAGAGUC